Molecule: ribosomal RNA, 278 nt
Filed under: uncultured bacterium
Lineage: Bacteria
Description: partial 16S ribosomal RNA
Rfam family: Bacterial small subunit ribosomal RNA
Source: RNAcentral
AGAGUUUGAUCCUGGCUCAGGAUGAACGCUAGCGGCAGGCCUAAUACAUGCAAGUCGAGGGGCAGCACGGUAGCAAUACUGGUGGCGACCGGCGCACGGGUGCGUAACGCGUAUGGAACUUGCCCUUUACUGGGGGAUAGCCCGGAGAAAUUCGGAUUAAUACCCCAUGGUAUGGUUUGUUGGCAUCAACAGAUUAUUAAAGGUUUAUCGGUAAAGGAUAGUCAUGCGUAUGAUUAGCUAGUUGGCGGGGUAACGGCCCACCAAGGCGAUGAUCAUUA